CUCCCAACAGUUGCUUAAUAAUGACAGGCCCCUUCUCUUCUAACUCCCUAAUCACAGUUGCCUCUGUUGACUGGAAAAAAAAUGCCUCCCUCUUUUCUCUUACUUUUCCAUCUCUUUCACUCUCAUCCUUUCCGACAGCGUAGGCAGUUGAUGGACUAACCAUUGACCGAAUCCAGAAGAUGUUUUCGAGAGGGCUAUUUGCUGUUUCUCAACACCUGCAAUAAAUUUCUUUUAGAGGAUGAUGUAUCCUAAGUGAAACAACAAAAGUCACAAAGGUACUUUCAAAGCCCAUAAGGAAUAGAGUGCUUUGCUUUCGUGAUGCAAAUACGAAGUCUACAUUAGGCUAGAAGGACGGAUCAUGUUAUGGCAGGGUGAACAAUCAUAUACGAAGAUGGGGUAAUGUGAUGCGACUAUUGAGGGGUUGAAACAACUCGGUAAGAAGGUUAAAGAAAAGGCCAUUCACUCUUUUCUCUGCCUUCAUUUAAUGUCUUUUCCAGUUGUUUCAUUCAAAAUUUAUCCUACUUUUCCUACCACACCUACUUCGAAACUCAUUUAUACAUGUGAUUUGUUUACACGGGAGAAGUAUCUACAAUGUUUGUAGGAAUACAUGAAAAUGAGACAAUAUAAACAUAAUUUAUUUUUGUGAAUGUAAUGCAUAUAGAUGCAUUAAUUUAAAUGA
Nicotiana tabacum (common tobacco) is the source of this 679-nucleotide non-coding RNA. The record is from RefSeq and is a predicted model, not a curated record. Lineage: Eukaryota; Viridiplantae; Streptophyta; Magnoliopsida; Solanales; Solanaceae.